Molecule: long non-coding RNA, 596 nt
Filed under: Ananas comosus (pineapple)
Lineage: Eukaryota; Viridiplantae; Streptophyta; Magnoliopsida; Poales; Bromeliaceae
Description: long non-coding RNA (ACOM_LNC009502)
Source: RNAcentral
AUUAAAUUAUUUUUAUAUAAUUUUUAUUUAAUUAAUAAUUAGACUUAUAAAACUAUAUAAUUUUUUUUUUUUGAGAGAUAUAGCACGCUACUCGCUUCGUUUAUUUCAUUUAGAAAUAAACUUAGCUGAAAAUGUGAAUCAACUAGGAUUCGAACUUGGGUCUCGGGUACCAACCACCAAGCCCUUUGUCACUUGUUCUGGGGACGGUCAGUAAAAAACUAUAUAAAAAUAUUAAAAAAAUAAAAUUUAUUAUAAAAAUAUUUUUAUAUCCGCAGCAUCGCGCGGAUAUUUCACUAGUCACACAUUAUGCGACUACUGAAGUUCAACACCCUAGACCAUAUGGAGUAGAGCUAGAAUACUCCCAAAAGCACUAAUGGGUCGGUGCUGCUUUUGAGUUUUUAGUCCUUGGAUGGAGAGAUGUAGGGUUGAGAUGAUGGUAGUAGGUGGUGGUAGAUGGAAUAGUGUUUGAUCCAAAGGGUAUUAGUAAUUGGGGAGUAGAUCCAAAGGCUAGAAAUUUAGAAGCACCAGUGAGUUGGUGCUUCUAAAAGUAUUCUAGCUCUACUCGACUAUAUGCCACGUGAGUCUCAAGAGAAUAA